This 424-nucleotide long non-coding RNA is filed under the name Mytilus galloprovincialis (Mediterranean mussel). The record is from RNAcentral. Lineage: Eukaryota; Metazoa; Mollusca; Bivalvia; Mytilida; Mytilidae.
UUUAUACCACUAUUCCACAUACUAAACUUAAAGCUCGACUGAAAGAACUCGUCAGCUUAUGUUUCUUUAACAAAAAGGGCACUAGACGUUUUAAAUAUCUAGUUUUGGGCUGGAAUUCAGCUUACUUUGUGAAAAAUCAUACAGAGUCAAUGAAAAAAUAUACCGACGAGGAUAACACUGCCAUGCUGGACUUUUUAAUUGACAACAUAUUUGUUGAAUUUGGAGGUUUGGUCUUCCAACAGACUAUUGAAAUCCCAAUGGGUACCAAUUGCGCUCCUCUUCUUGCAGAUUUGUUUUUAUAUUCCUAUGAAACAGAAUUUAACCAAGGGCUUGUACAGAAAGGAGAAAAGAAAUUAGCCCAGUCUUUUAAUUUCACCUUUCGGUAUAUUGAUGAUGUACUGUCUCUUAAUAAUAAUAGAUUCAG